Long non-coding RNA from Quercus lobata, 203 nucleotides. RefSeq lists it as uncharacterized. The record is from RefSeq and is a predicted model, not a curated record. NCBI's taxonomy places the organism in Eukaryota, Viridiplantae, Streptophyta, Magnoliopsida, Fagales, Fagaceae. The transcript is spliced from 3 exons.
CUGCUCAGUUUUCAGACAACACACUCUCUCUCUCAAGAUCAAGAAAUCAUCCUAGAACUUCUCUCAUUUCUGGUUUCCAAUUCCUCUCUUUCUGCUCAGACAACUCACUGCUCAGACAACUCCUCUCUUUCUCCUAAUGUCCACUUGAUUUGAGCUACGUCUUGCACCUGAGUUGGAGGGAGUGUCCAGCUUGAUGCCACUAG